UACGUAGGGCGCGAGCGUUGUCCGGAAUUAUUGGGCGUAAAGAGCUCGUAGGCGGUUUGUCGCGUCUGCCGUGAAAUCCUCUGGCUUAACUGGGGGCGUGCGGUGGGUACGGGCAGACUGGAGUGCGGUAGGGGAGACUGGAAUUCCUGGUGUAGCGGUGGAAUGCGCAGAUAUCAGGAGGAACACCGGUGGCGAAGGCGGGUCUCUGGCCCUAUACUGACGCUGAGACGCGAGAGCGUGGGUAGCAAACAGG
Molecule: ribosomal RNA, 253 nt
Filed under: uncultured bacterium
Lineage: Bacteria
Description: partial 16S ribosomal RNA
Rfam family: Bacterial small subunit ribosomal RNA
Source: RNAcentral